Molecule: ribosomal RNA, 486 nt
Filed under: uncultured bacterium
Lineage: Bacteria
Description: bacterial SSU rRNA
Rfam family: Bacterial small subunit ribosomal RNA
Source: RNAcentral
AGGACGAACGCUGGCGGCGUGCUUAACACAUGCAAGUCGAACGAGGUUAUAGGAGAGCUUGCUACAAAUAUAACCGAGUGGCGGACGGGUGAGUAACGCGUGAGCAACCUGUCUCACACGAGGGGAAUAACGCAUCGAAAGAUGUGCUAAUACCGCAUAGGACCACGGAGUCGCAUGGCUUUGAGGUGAAAGGAGCAAUCCGGUGUGAGGUGGGCUCGCGUCUGAUUAGAUAGUUGGUGAGGUAACGGCCCACCAAGUCAACGAUCAGUAGCCGACCUGAGAGGGUGAUCGGCCACAGUUGGGACUGAGACACGGCCCAGACUCCGUACGGGAGGCAGCAGUGGGGAAUAUUGGGCAAUGGGCGAAAGCCCUGACCCAGCAACGCCGCGUGAAGGAAGAAGGUUUCGGAUCGUAAACUUCUGUCCUAUAUGAAGAUAAUGACGGUAGUAUAGGAGGAAGCCCGGCUAACUACGUGCCAGCCGCCGC